AUGAUCAUCCCGGUCCGCUGCUUCACCUGCGGCAAGGUGAUCGGGAACAAGUGGGACCACUACCUCGAUCUUCUCCAGGCCGAUUACACUGAGGGGGAUGCUCUGGAUGCCUUGGGCUUGGUUCGCUACUGCUGCCGCCGUAUGCUCAUGACCCAUGUUGAUCUCAUCGAGAAGUUGCUCAACUACAACAGCAAGUUGAUGCUGUUAUGUAACUUCCCCUGGAGAAGACGGAGACAAAUUGAACCCAUUCUGCCUCGAAACCCUUGUUCCUUUGUCUUUUCAAGAUGGAUGAUAUGCUGUUUCUUAUGUCAGUGCUUAGGAGGUGCAAAGUGUGAGGUCCUGAAAUGA
This 348-nucleotide ribosomal RNA is filed under the name Triticum aestivum (bread wheat). Its description in RNAcentral is "partial small subunit ribosomal RNA". Lineage: Eukaryota; Viridiplantae; Streptophyta; Magnoliopsida; Poales; Poaceae. The record is from RNAcentral.